This 1105-nucleotide long non-coding RNA is filed under the name Strigops habroptila (Kakapo). RNAcentral's name for it is "lncRNA (ENSSHBG00005011707.1)". The record is from RNAcentral. Lineage: Eukaryota; Metazoa; Chordata; Aves; Psittaciformes; Psittacidae.
UCAGAUUUCCAUAGGCUUUAUCUUAUUUUUUCUAAGCAACUGCUCAUAAACUUUUUUAAUAUCUUGACUAGCAUGAUGGUGCUACUUGCAAAUCUGUUCAUAGAGCUAUUAAUCUAUGAUAGUGCAAUCUAAUCUAGAGAAAGGAAUCACACUUACUUAGUUGUUCCGUUCAUUGUUUCAUUUAAAAAAACAUAAAUAACAAGUUGACAGGGUUUCUUUGUGCUUCUUUCUUUUCAACUGGCAUCUUAAAUAUUUCAAGAGAGGUUUGUCAAGACAUCACAAAAGUAGCUCUUAGUUCUGAUCUGAACUUUAUUGAACCCUGCUUUCAUGUAAUAGGAAGGAAAAACAAGUGAUCACUCUGAGUCCAUGACUCAAUGGCUACAGCAAACUCUCAGUGCUUUUGAUUCCUGUAUAGUAGCAGUCAGUACUCAGAUGAAUUUAGCAGAAUCAAACAUACACAAAAUCUGAAGGGAAAGCAAUCUCCUGUGGCUCCUGAAGAAGAAAUUUGACUUCUAAGGCAAGUUCGACAUGUGGGCUCCCUCCCUCCUCUCCUUUCUUCCCUGACCUCUCUCUGCAAGCUCCAUCUCUAACUGUCCCUGUGUAGCUCACUCUCAGCAUGAGCUUUGCCAGACAAAGUCUGCUGGUGGCAGCAGGGUAAGCAGAGGCUGCUGCUGAACAGUGACAGCCACAAACGUGAAAACAGCUGAGACCUGCAGUGACAUGCUGGUGAGACCCAUGCAGGCACCUGCACAACCCAGUGAUGUCCUAGUCCAUUCUGGGAAGGGCACCAGGGCUUCUGUUCCUGCUUGCAUCAGGAACUGGAGAUUUCAGAUGUACAUUCACCCUUGUGGCCAGGCCAUAUGUCCCAUGCAGCAGCAUGUGAUGCAUACACAAGGGAGAGACUGGCUGUAAAGUUCUGAUUUUUGAAGAAAGAAAAAUAUAUUAAGUGAAGAGCCUCAGAAUAAAGAAUUGGGAAAGCUCUUGUUUUGGUUGGAGCUACGUUUUUGCUGCCUGUUGCUUCCAGCCAACUAGAUAAGAAAAAUGAGCUUGUUUGCCUUUUGCGUGUUGCUGCAAUACACGCAUAUCAGUGCAUAUAGUCCAGAGA